This is a long non-coding RNA of Drosophila virilis, 556 nucleotides long. RefSeq lists it as uncharacterized. The record is from RefSeq and is a predicted model, not a curated record. NCBI's taxonomy places the organism in Eukaryota, Metazoa, Arthropoda, Insecta, Diptera, Drosophilidae.
AUGUAACCCGUUUAUUUUCAUUUUUUAAGACUAUUUUAUUUCACAAAUAAAAGCCCCUAUAUUAUCAUAAACCAAAUACCACGUCAAAGAUCACAAGCAAAAAAAAGAAAAGCUCGUAAAUUGUGCAAGGUUGGAAAUGUCUAUCUAAUCAGAAUAAUUUCGACAGUCAAAAACUGCGGGACCUCUAUCAAGAUGAAAAUAAGUGCAAGUUGAGGGGAAGAAAAGUUUCCAACUGUAAACAUAAAAAUAUAUGGUUACAAUUCGCUCGACUGAUUCAUCGGGAACCUUAUUCGCGUUGCAGAUUAUCAAAUUACAACAACAAGAAGAAGAAGAAGAAGAAAAGGUCCCUAGGGACGGUCCAGCGUUUACAAGUAUGCGUGCGGCCAGGCCUCCACAAACACACACACAUCCAUCUCCGAAAUGAUAUUCGGGCGAAUUGUUUUUACCUCUUAGCACUUUUUUGACACAUGCAACUCAACGUUUGUUGCUAUUUUCGUUAAUUAAUAUUUAAUUAUUUCUAACAAAUAAAUAUUUCCCGCGACACACGCAAAUGUAA